UACGAAGGGGGCUAGCGUUGUUCGGAAUUACUGGGCGUAAAGGGCGCGUAGGCGGUGUGUCAAGUCAGGCGUGAAAGCCCCGGGCUCAACCUGGGAACCGCGCUUGAGACUGGCACGCUAGAGUUCGGGAGAGGAUGGUGGAAUUCCACGUGUAGCGGUGAAAUGCGUAGAGAUGUGGAGGAACACCGAUGGCGAAGGCAGCCUCCUGGGCCAAUACUGACGCUCAUGCACGAAAGCGUGGGGAGCAAACAGG
This 253-nucleotide ribosomal RNA is filed under the name uncultured bacterium. RNAcentral describes it as "partial 16S ribosomal RNA". It matches the Rfam family "Bacterial small subunit ribosomal RNA", at positions 524 to 776 of the family's 1533-position model. The record is from RNAcentral.